AGUGAACGCUGGCGGUAGGCCUAACACAUGCAAGUCGAACGGCAGCACAGUAAGAGCUUGCUCUUACGGGUGGCGAGUGGCGGACGGGUGAGGAAUACAUCGGAAUCUACUUUUUCGUGGGGGAUAACGUAGGGAAACUUACGCUAAUACCGCAUACGACCUACGGGUGAAAGCAGGGGAUCUUCGGACCUUGCGCGAUUGAAUGAGCCGAUGUCGGAUUAGCUAGUUGGCGGGGUAAAGGCCCACCAAGGCGACGAUCCGUAGCUGGUCUGAGAGGAUGAGCAGCCACACUGGAACUGAGACACGGUCCAGACGCCUACGGGAGGCAGCAGUGGGGAAUAUUGGACAAUGGGCGCAAGCCUGAUCCAGCCAUACCGCGUGGGUGAAGAAGGCCUUCGGGUUGUAAAGCCCUUUUGUUGGGAAAGAAAAGCAGCAGGUUAAUACCCCGCUGUUCUGACGGUACCCAAAGAAUAAGCACCGGCUAACUUCGUG
RNAcentral lists this ribosomal RNA (492 nucleotides) under uncultured bacterium. RNAcentral's name for it is "partial 16S ribosomal RNA". It matches the Rfam family "Bacterial small subunit ribosomal RNA", at positions 29 to 507 of the family's 1533-position model. The record is from RNAcentral.